This 492-nucleotide ribosomal RNA is filed under the name uncultured bacterium. RNAcentral describes it as "partial 16S ribosomal RNA". It matches the Rfam family "Bacterial small subunit ribosomal RNA", at positions 29 to 507 of the family's 1533-position model. The record is from RNAcentral.
AGUGAACGCUGGCGGUAGGCCUAACACAUGCAAGUCGAACGGCAGCACAGUAAGAGCUUGCUCUUACGGGUGGCGAGUGGCGGACGGGUGAGGAAUACAUCGGAAUCUACUUUUUCGUGGGGGAUAACGUAGGGAAACUUACGCUAAUACCGCAUACGACCUACGGGUGAAAGCAGGGGAUCUUCGGACCUUGCGCGAUUGAAUGAGCCGAUGUCGGAUUAGCUAGUUGGCGGGGUAAAGGCCCACCAAGGCGACGAUCCGUAGCUGGUCUGAGAGGAUGAUCAGCCACACUGGAACUGAGACACGGCCCAGACUCCUACGGGAGGCAGCAGUGGGGAAUAUUGGACAAUGGGCGCAAGCCUGAUCCAGCCAUACCGCGUGGGUGAAGAAGGCCUUCGGGUUGUAAAGCCCUUUUGUUGGGAAAGAAAAGCAGCAGGUUAAUACCCCGCUGUUCUGACGGUACCCAAAGACUAAGCACCGGCUAACUUCGUG